UAGUCCAGUACAUGUCACCGUGAACGUAACUGAGUUUUCACAAGAUAAUUUGUUAUUGGCCUACGCUGUUCUGUAUCUUGUGUACCAAUCUUUGGCUCUCAUUUAAUUAUUUACUUAUGACUAUUUUUGGUUUAGUUAUCCCCGGAAUAUAUAUUCAAUGCAGUUUCUCGGAGGAUUUUGAAAAAGUAUGGAUGACCAGGAUGAGGAAUCGGAAUGACACGAAACACUGAAACUGUGCUGCGCAAAUUUGCCGCUGUGUGGUGAGACCAGACGAUACAGCCCGCAAAGUGAAAAUCAACAUCCCACUGCCAACACAGGGAAGAGCUCGUGUUCGAGAUCAUCCAAUGGCAUAUGCCGCUGGCGGUGGCCCUCUCCGUGUGUGGAGGGGGAGCGGGACCGGGGACUGCACAGUAUGGCGGCGGGGGCGCGCUCCCCCUGGGAAGACGGCCUCCGGGAAGAAGCUGACGGCGGAACACCUGCGCAAGCGCAACGCCAGAUCGACGAGAUCAUCCAGCGCAGUCUGCCGGUGGCGGUGGCCACCAGCAGUGGCAGCAGAGUCGAUCGGGGCUUCGCCUGUCAAUACCGAUUACCGACUACCGUCGGCCUCACAGACCGAACACCUCGCAGUGUUUACGGCGCGGCAUCUGCCAUUCAUCGUCCAGCUUGUGCUUUGGACUCUAAUCUUGAACCGGUUUAUGCACCUCACAACAUGGCAAGCAACAUUGUAGAACGCCGUCAGCUGCUCGCAGGAAGCGCCACGGGUUGAAGCUGAAAGCGCUAGAGGACCGCAUUCCCGUUCCCCCCGGCAAGCGGUACGUGGGAUGGUACAAAUGUUCCUAUCCAAGUACGUUAUUAAGGUCACCUGCGUGAGACGUUGCUGGCCAGUUGGCCGUGCGGCUGGCCCAGGAGGUGACACAUUCGGUGCUUUCGGUUCGCACACUACCAUUGUCCUGUGCUUUCGCAGUGAUGCUCCGUGGUGACUCGGCAGUGCUUCCGGCGGAGCGACGCCAUCUCGCGAAUCCGUGCGUCUGACGAAGCACGUGCUGUGCCGAUAUGUCUGCUUCUGUAAUCUGUAAAUGUGCUUUUCGCUUCAUUAUUUACGGCAGAAAUUAAAGUAAACAAAACUGUUACGACUUGAUGUGGCGGCAUAAUACAUUCAUUAUGAACCGCCACUGAGGGCGCAAACAACCAACUGAUUGUUGUCAACAGGACAACAAGGGCAUGCUGCUAUCGCAGUUGUCAUGCAGUCGGACAAAACACACAGGUCACUAAAGGACAGCACAUUCUCGUGACGUCAGUGCCACUGCACUACGCCACAAAACAAUCAACCAGUUGGUAGACGGCCCUUCUCGCCACCCUUUGCCCAACUUUGUCGGCGGACGGCUCCUGGAAGUCCUUUUGCGUUUGCGGUUGUUUCUUGCCAAUGCCGAAUUAAUUGUUUUUGUGCUGGUGUUGAAAAAUGCUCUUAAGCACUUUGUAUGUAUACAACUAAUGCAGAUAGUCGCAAAGAGGGUGAGCACUAGGCAGUUUUCUUUUGUGCUAUCCCGUGAAUGUGAAAACGCUCUUUGACUUCUCGAGACGAUCGGGCUUUCUCUAACUGUUUGUAAAUACCCGAACCGAAAAAUGAUAAAAACAGUGGGACAGAAGUCACAGAAAAUCCAAUAUGAAACCGGGCCACAGAAUUUCUGCAACAGCGGAUCAGCGGCGAAAUCUAACGAUGGAAUGCGGCAUCUAGCCCGGGAACGGCUGACGACUUUGUCACACGUCUGCAAAGCGCACGCACAUUGAUGAUUCUCCUGCUACAUACCAAUCCAAUCAGAACAAGCAUAAUAAAACGGCCUGCGCUGAAAGUCUGAGUCUGAUUCUGAAUGCUAAAAGUAUGAGUCUGAAUAUUAAAAGUCUGAUUCUGAUUCCUGGAACUCUGAAUCUGAAUACCAAACUCUGAAUCUAAAUAAUAAGACACCUGGAUCUGGCAGGUGACGACGCGAGUCUCUAAUUAAAAUUAU
Molecule: RNA transcript, 2006 nt
Organism: Paramacrobiotus metropolitanus
Lineage: Eukaryota; Metazoa; Tardigrada; Eutardigrada; Parachela; Macrobiotidae
Exons: 3
Source: RefSeq, a predicted model, not a curated record